RNAcentral lists this ribosomal RNA (253 nucleotides) under uncultured bacterium. Its description in RNAcentral is "partial 16S ribosomal RNA". It matches the Rfam family "Bacterial small subunit ribosomal RNA", at positions 524 to 776 of the family's 1533-position model. The record is from RNAcentral.
UACGUAGGGUGCAAGCGUUGUCCGGAAUUAUUGGGCGUAAAGAGCUCGUAGGCGGUCUGUCACGUCGGCUGUGAAAACCCGAGGCUCAACCUCGGGCCUGCAGUCGAUACGGGCAAACUAGAGUACUGCAGGGGAGACUGGAAUUCCUGGUGUAGCGGUGAAAUGCGCAGAUAUCAGGAGGAACACCGGUGGCGAAGGCUGGUCUCUGGGCAGUAACUGACGCUGAGGAGCGAAAGCGUGGGGAGCGAACAGG